Numida meleagris (helmeted guineafowl) is the source of this 536-nucleotide long non-coding RNA. RefSeq lists it as uncharacterized. The record is from RefSeq and is a predicted model, not a curated record. NCBI's taxonomy places the organism in Eukaryota, Metazoa, Chordata, Aves, Galliformes, Numididae. The transcript has 3 exons.
GGAAGCCCUCUGUGACUGAGCUGUGAAGCCUUGCUAGCAGCCCAGAGCAUACCCUGGACAAGCAUGAGCAUCACUGCCUUGUGUGCAGCAUGUGUCUCUUUCCUUGGAAAGGCAGUGGAAAGAUGUUAGCACCUGCGUUUUUCAUGACAAGUUACCUAUGGAAGGAUGCGUGCAGGAAGAGAGCAAAUUAUGUUAAAUUUUCCAGGCUCAGCAGCUUUGAAGCCACAUCUCACAGGCUGAUUUACCUGCCACGCUGCAGAAUGGCCAUGGCUGGGGAAUGCUUCCCUGCUACACUUAAAGCUGAGCAUCAGCACAGCCAGGAGUACGAGGGCUUUCAUAUUGGAAGAGUGGGGAACAAUGCUUCCUAAGCGUGAGGUAGCUGAGAAAAAGAAACACAGAGGUCCAAAGCUUGCCUACUCAUUUAUCCAUCCGGGCUGACCCACUUCUUUCAUGCUGACACUAAAUUACACAAGUAUGAUUACUUCUGUGAUGUUUCAGUGAAGACAUUCCCAGUUCCACUGCUGCAAGACAACAAG